Haliotis rufescens (red abalone) is the source of this 384-nucleotide long non-coding RNA. RefSeq lists it as uncharacterized. The transcript is spliced from 3 exons. NCBI's taxonomy places the organism in Eukaryota, Metazoa, Mollusca, Gastropoda, Lepetellida, Haliotidae. The record is from RefSeq and is a predicted model, not a curated record.
GAUUACAGACAUCCUCAGGGAGGAUACCAAGUAUUGAAAUGUCCGGAUGAAUAAAAGAGACAGUCAUCUGUGCAGCAUCAAUGCAAAGAAAGACCACAGAAGAGCAACAGUGAGUGAAACUGAAGUCCUGCUUGAGAUCCCUGGAUGAGUACUCCAGGUUGACAGUCUGGAAGGACGAGACAAGGGAGUCCUAAACAGAGGCUGCACCCCUUCAGAUAUCAGAGGUGAUUUGCAGACAGCGAUGACGAGGGUCCUGUUAUUUCAAUGGAGGCCGACCGAGAAGUUGUAUGCCAAAUGGUACUGGGACACACACAGGCUGGUCUGGCUAAUGUGAGAAGACCAACCAAUGCCAAGCUGGAGUGGAAUUCUUCCAGGACAUUCAGG